GCAGAAUUUUCUCAGAAAUUGUGGGACAGGGCAAAAUCAGGUAGAAGGCAGGAAAGUUGUCUCAAAAAAAUUUUUUUUCUAUCCCCGUAGUAUAUCCAUACAACAGUGAAAUCAGAAGCACUCAGUUGUCUUGCUGUAACAGCUUGUUUAAUUUAUUCUUUCUGGGAAGACAAAGCCAACUGGACAUCUUCAUCAUGAACCUGCUUCUUGAACAGAAGUGAGCUUGGGAUUUAGGCCACUCAGUUAUGUCUUUCAAUGUUUUUCUCUGUUACUUGAGUUCUAUUAACUUAAAAAACAAAUAUAAAUGUAUUUGACCCAAUGAUUGCCUUACAGAGCACUCUGCUCCUGAGUUGACAUUUGAUAAUCUCCAUCUUCUGUUUGCAUUUUGGGAGUCAUAGACCUACCCUGUAACAUCUUCCUACACUGUUCAUCAUCCUGUAGCACUCUUUCAGCUCAAGUGAAGGUGUGUUUGUUUAUUGUUAGAUAAUUAAUUGAUCAAAUACUUCGAAACAGGAACAAAAGUUCCAAAACAUUCUUCCCUAUGCCAGGGUCAAUGGAGGUGUCAGGGUAACACAUAGGACUUUAAAACUGGUUGAAUUACAUCUAGUCCCCAAGCCGCAGAAUGGGGAUUUUCAGUAAUUUAGGAAAAUGACAAGAGCCUUGAAACCCAUUUCUGAAGGUCCCCUGCAACCUUAUGGGAAUCAUAAUGCCCCAUCUGCUGCCAUAAAGCUCCUUAGCAGGUGGGGCCGUGGGCUCACAAAAUUGCCUUAGGACCCACAAUUUUCUUAAAAGUUCCUUCUGUGAUGUGGUGAGUUAUGAGAGCUGUGUGCUCCAGAAUCCUCCUGCAGCUGCUCCUCCAUCUGUAUCCUGGGGUAAACCACCUUGGGAAGCACUCAUAUAUGGAGCGGCAGAUCCUUCCCGCAUCGGGAAGGGAGACCUGUGCCAGAUGGACCCAGUUUUUGAAGAGCUCUGGACUUCACUGCUGUCCUUCCUUAGAAGAUCCUGCUGACUUCAGAUGGAUUUUUGCCUGUGAGGGUUGAAGAAAUUUCUGUAUCAAGCAGAUUAUC
Molecule: long non-coding RNA, 1067 nt
Filed under: Numida meleagris (helmeted guineafowl)
Lineage: Eukaryota; Metazoa; Chordata; Aves; Galliformes; Numididae
Description: lncRNA (ENSNMEG00000005572.1)
Source: RNAcentral